Long non-coding RNA from Ailuropoda melanoleuca (giant panda), 2573 nucleotides. RefSeq lists it as uncharacterized. NCBI's taxonomy places the organism in Eukaryota, Metazoa, Chordata, Mammalia, Carnivora, Ursidae. The transcript has 9 exons. The record is from RefSeq and is a predicted model, not a curated record.
GGAAGUGACAUGAAAAAUUCUGAUCAUCACUGAACUAAGAUGCUUAGUACCAGACUGGAUAUACGAAAGAAAUGAAUCAAGAGUUCAAAUGACGACAACACUUUUUUUCUUCAAGACAAGGGUGGCUCCGUGUAGGCCAACGAGCAAGGACAGCUCGGUUGGUUGCGCCCUGCACUGUCGGAGGGGGUGCCGUUUACAAUGUGGCAUGUGAUCCAGAGCACUUCCCAGUGAGAGAGCUACCUUAUUGGAAAAGCAGAUUCAGAGAAGAUGACAAAGGGGAAAAUGCAUCUCUCUGCCAUUUCUUGAGUUCUUAUUCUUUCCCACUGACAACUAAUUGCAGGCUGACUGACUUUAGUAAGCUACCACAUGAUUAAAAAAUAUUAUUGAUCUAUGCAUGAUACUGGGAAAACUGGAUAUCCAUAAUGCAAAAGAAUGAAGCUAGAGUCUUACCUUGUACAAUAUAAAAAAUUAAUUCAAAAUGAUCAAGGACCUAAACACAAAAGCUAAAAAAACUGUAAGACUCCUAGAAGAGCACACAGGGGAGAAACGUCAUGACAAAAUUGACAUUGGAUCAAAUGACUUCUUGGAUAUGACACCACAAGUACAGGAAACAGAAGAAAAAUAGGCAAUCCCUGUAAAUGCGAUUGGACAGGAGCACAGACAUUCUCCCUCCAGCAGAAUCACAGUACCUCCAUUUUGGCAUGGGUCGCAUUUUCUCACGCUGAAUUCACUGAGGUCUGCAUAGGACCAGCAAGCUGAUAACCAACCCUCUCCCCUCCUGAUGCCAGUGCUCUAUCACACUGAAGGUUACCAAGUGCAGGAACACUAUCUAAAAGGCCAGGGGAACUCUUCUGGGAGAAAUAAGAAUACAGGCUCCUUUGCUUACUUCUGGGUUGCUGACCAGAUUUGAUAGGUUAACAGGAAACAGUUCAGUGGCAACUUUAAAAAGAAGAAACAGAAGGAGAAUAAGAAGUUGUCCUUGGGUGAAGUAUCAGGAUGGAAACUAUUCACCACUACGAUAAUUAUUAGCCAGAUUUCCACGGAGUAACUAGCCCCAGCAUGGCUUAUUUCAAGGUGUCAUGUGACGUCAUUGAAUGUGGAGAUGGAAAGAGAUUUGCACAUUCAGCCCCAGCACACCCCUGUUAUAAGAAGUCAACAGACUCCUGAAAAUCCAUGUGUCCAGUUCAGCUUCAAAUGGUUCAAAAGAACAUCUGUUAUCUGACCAUCUAGUGCUGACAACUCUCCUGACCAAGAAAACUACAGCGACCUCUCUGCUCCUAAGGGGUGGGGAGGAGAAGAUAGUUGGGACUGAGUUCUUAUCAUGUGCCAGACCUACUGCAAAUGCCAACACACCGUGCCUCUAAAUGUGGACAUUAUUAUUCCUGAUGAAAAGACAAGGGACGUUCAGGGUCACUGAGCAGUGGGAGAUCUGGGAAUCAAGGCAAGGGCCCUUCACUUCUAAACCCUGUCUCCCUUUCCCUGGCCAUACCAUCCUUGAUUUACAUACACUCUUGGUGGAACUCACUAAAAAAUAAUGCGAAUAUUGUACAAAGAAAUGACUAAAGUCCUAUGGAAACCAUCGGAACGGUUUUGCUAUUUCCUAAAGAUGAUAUUCCUCUUCCCUACAUGAGCUUUUCACCCAGAACCCAGCUUGGAAAGUAUGUUCCUAGAGAAAUAUGUUGCCGGCAAGUCCUCUGCCUCCACCACUCAGCCCUCUUUAAGUAAAUUGUGAAAUUUCCGUUAAUGCAGAAGUAGAACUACUUCUCAGCAGAAAUGCAUAACUUGUGUUUGUGGUUUAUGUUGGUGGCAGAUGUGAUUUCCUUCAUAAAAUCUUAGAACUGGAAGGAAGUGAAGAGACUGUCAUAAGGUCCCACUCAUGCAUAACAAGGGCAGUUGAAGCCUGAAAAGAGUUAAUGAUUUGCCCAGAAUCUUAUCAGAAAUAAUAAUACAAGUCAAUAUUAAUGAUGAUGCCAAGAGAGUAACUAUUGUGUAUUGAGAAUCUAUCAGAUAAUAUGGCCUUCGUAAUAGACUUGCUGCGUAUUAUAUGUUAUCUCUAUUUUCAAAUGGGAUGUCUGAAGCUCAACAGGUGAGGCAAUUCACACAAAGCCACACAGUUAAUAGGUAGCAGAUCCUGGGUUCAAAUAGUUUGACCCCAAGGUUUAGGCUCUUGACACCAUGUCUCUAUAGUGUGGGCUCAUCAAGAUAAGCAAAACUGAAGUGAUUCGGUCUAAUUUUCCUCAAACCUAAAUCAGAUAUAUCCUGAUAUAUAAAGUGAGGGGUAUUCCCUUGGCAUAAUCAUGGGGGAUGGAUUUAUGUCAGUGGUGAUGUCACAGCCUGAAACCAUUUUGGAAUUCCUUUCUAUGUGGUAACUUGCAGUAUGUUUUGUUUUGUUUUUUAUUUGUAAAAUAUUCACAUAAUUUUUUUUGUUAUUGAAAUAUAGUUGACAUAAAUGUUAUAUUAAUUUAAGGUAUACAACAUAGUGAUUAAGCAAGUCUGUAUAUUACACAAUGCUUACUACAGUAAGUGCAGCUAUCAUCCGUCACCAUACAAUACUAGUACAAUAUUAUUCACUA